Molecule: ribosomal RNA, 418 nt
Filed under: uncultured prokaryote
Description: bacterial SSU rRNA
Rfam family: Archaeal small subunit ribosomal RNA
Source: RNAcentral
GUGUCAGCCGCCGCGGUAAUACCAGCUCUCCGAGUGGUGUGGAUGUUUAUUGGGCCUAAAGCAUCCGUAGCUUGCUGAACAAGUCCCCUGUUAAACCCAACGAAUCAAUCGUUGGAUUGCGGGGGAUACUGUUCGGCUAGGGGACGAGAGAGGCCGACGGUAUUUUCGGGGUAGGGGUGAAAUCCUAUAAUCCCGAGAGGACCACCAGUGGCGAAGGCUGUCGGCUAGAACGCGCCCAACGGUGAGGGAUGAAAGCUGGGGGAGCGAACCGGAUUAGAUACCCGGGUAGUCCCAGCUGUAAACGAUGCAGGCUAGGUGUUUGAGCGGCCACGCGCCGCUCUAGUGCCGCAGGGAAGCUGUUAAGCCUGCCGCCUGGGGAGUACGGCCGCAAGGCUGAAACUUAAAUGAAUUGGCGGGG